CCGUUGCCGGCGACCGGCACACGGGUGAGUAACACGUAUGCAACCUGCCCGUGGCAGGGGGAUAAGCGGGGGAAACCCCGUCUAAUACCGCGUAACGCGGCCUUGGGGCAUCCCAAGGCCGCCAAAGGGAGCAAUCCCGGCCACGGAUGGGCAUGCGGCGCAUUAGCUAGUCGGCGGGGUAACGGCCCACCGAGGCGACGAUGCGUAGGGGUUCUGAGAGGAAGGCCCCCCACACUGGUACUGAGACACGGACCAGACUCCUACGGGAGGCAGCAG
This 276-nucleotide ribosomal RNA is filed under the name uncultured bacterium. RNAcentral describes it as "partial 16S ribosomal RNA". It matches the Rfam family "Bacterial small subunit ribosomal RNA", at positions 82 to 354 of the family's 1533-position model. The record is from RNAcentral.